GUAGGUUCUCUACAGACAAAUCUCCUUAAACUAUGAAUGCGAUCCCGACUUCAUCCGCCAUGGUGACUUUAUCAUGUGACUUACGACGUUACAAGAGCAACAUCAACUUAAAAGAUAUGAGCCACAGGCUUAUAACAACAACAAAUGAUUUUUUUUUGAUGCAUUAUGACUAUAUGAAUAUUAUUCAAAUAUAUUUACCCUUGUAACUGUGCCUUUUUUGCUGUGUGUAUAUUCUCAUACUAUGCAAACCCAUUAUAUUUAUGUUUUCUAUUAUGAUUGUUCAUUGUUAAAGAUAGAACCAUCUUUCCCUGAGCUUAAAUGUAAUUAUAAGGUCUGCAGUAAUAAUAAUAAUAAGCAUCAAUAGCAUCAGUAACUCCACAACCCUACAUAGUACAGUUUUCUGCAGCGUUUGCAAUAUCUGCACAAAGGAGACGUCGAUCAGCUGCUGGAAGAUCUUGACUUUGGAGAAGAAUGCUGAUAUUAUACUUGAAAAAUACGGUGAACCCACAUCCUACUGCAUCUCAACACAGCUUUAUUCUGAUGAAGCAGCUGACCACCGUGUCCACCUUCACCUGUCUCUGCCGUCCAUCACACCCCUCACUGCUCCUGUCAGACUGAAUCUGAUCAUGGAUGG
Long non-coding RNA from Onychostoma macrolepis, 634 nucleotides. RefSeq lists it as uncharacterized. The transcript has 3 exons. The record is from RefSeq and is a predicted model, not a curated record. Lineage: Eukaryota; Metazoa; Chordata; Actinopteri; Cypriniformes; Cyprinidae.